AGGCAGACUGUCGCGGGUCGGGAAAGCCGGCGCGAGGAAAGUCGGGACAGCACAGAGCACCAUACUUCUUAACAGGAAGGUGUCCGCAAGGGCAACAGCAAGUGCCACAGAAACAUACCGCCCUGAGCCCUGAGCUUGUCGAAGGGUCGAAGGGUAAGGGUGAAAACGCGAGGUAAGAGCUCACGCAUCGGGUGGCGACAUUCCGGUGAGGUAAACCUUAUGGGCUGCAAGUCCAAGUAUAGAGACAACGAAGCUUUCGGGCUUCAAGAGGGCUGCUCGUCCGUGUCUCAGGGUAGGGCGCUUGAGCCUGCGGGCGACCGCAGGUCUAGAGAAAUGACAGUCGCCCCGCAAGGGGAACAGAAU
RNAcentral lists this RNase P RNA (363 nucleotides) under bovine gut metagenome. RNAcentral describes it as "Bacterial RNase P class A". It matches the Rfam family "Bacterial RNase P class A". Rfam says of the family: Ribonuclease P (RNase P) is a ubiquitous endoribonuclease, found in archaea, bacteria and eukarya as well as chloroplasts and mitochondria. Its best characterised activity is the generation of mature 5'-ends of tRNAs by cleaving the 5'-leader elements of precursor-tRNAs. The record is from RNAcentral.